Pipra filicauda (Wire-tailed manakin) is the source of this 3640-nucleotide long non-coding RNA. RefSeq lists it as uncharacterized. The record is from RefSeq and is a predicted model, not a curated record. Lineage: Eukaryota; Metazoa; Chordata; Aves; Passeriformes; Pipridae. The transcript has 2 exons.
ACCCAGCACUGGACACCCCGAAUCCAGCCCUGCUCUCCCAAAAUCCACCCACAAACCCAAAACCACAUCCCUGCUCCCCCCAAAAUGGAUCCAAGCCCCCCCCCAACCCAUCACAGCCCCCUGAAAACCCAUUUCCAGCCUCCUAAACCCUUUCCCUGGUCCUCUGAAACCCAUCCAAGUCCCCCAUGACCCAUAUGCAGCCCCCCAAAACCAUUUUCCAGUCCUCCAAACCCAAUCCCUUGUCCCCCAAACCCAUCCAAGCCCCCCAAAACCUCUCCCUAGUUUCCCAAAACCCCUCCGAACCCCACAAUAUCCAUCCCCACCUCCCAAGUUCCAGCCCAACAUAAACCAUCCCCAGCCCUGCUGAAAUCCACCUCUGUUCCCUUAAAACACAGCCUAGCCCUCACACCCACACACCUAUUUCCAGCCCCAGAAAACCCCUCCCUGUUCCCCUAAACCCUGUGUCCAAGCCCCAUAGCCAUUCUCAUGACUUUUUUGGACAUUAAUAUUUAUUCUGGCCAAGCCAAGAGCACUCCCCCCCACACUUUCCCUGCUUGACAGUAACACCUGGAAAAUAGGCCAGGCAAGAAUAGGGAGGGGUAGGCAAGUCAAGGCAGAGGAUGGGUAUGGAAGGCAAUGCAAGGAAGGGAGAAGUGGGCAGAGAGAGGCAAGGCAAGGCAAAGGAUGGCCAGGAAGAGUUAGGCAAGGCAGGGGAGGGGUAGGCAAAGCAAUGGAAGUCAAACAAGGGCAGGUAAAGCAAGGAAAGGCCAGGCAAGAAAGGGGCAGUUAAGGUGAUAUGUAAGGUAAUGCAAGGGAGGUGUAGAAAGGAAGGAAAACAGCUAGGCCCAGUGUUUCAGGUGCAGAGGAUGGGCUACCCAGGGGACAUAAAGACCAGCCCCAGCUUUCUGUUCUGGUACCUCUGGUAUAGAAAAAUCCAAGGUGUAUACAGUUUUUGAGGAUUGGCUCCAAAUUUCUAGGGUGGGGUUCAGGAAGUGAAUCACUAGAGUGUCUUUCUUUGGGAAGCAAAGGAUGUAGUCCCACUGUUUGUGGUACCAUGGGGAGCUAAACAGCAGCAAGACAGUUCUCUCCUGGCUGGCCCCCUUUGUGUAGGAGCAAUUCUUGGAUGCUGGCAAUAUUGGAGAUGGUAUCUGACUUUUGGGUCUGGACUCCUGGAAGUGUGUCCCAGUGCUUUUACACGGGGAGGAAGGCAGGUAAUCCCAGUGCUUCAGGUGCAGGGCAGAGGCUGCAGCAGCCAGGAGCAGCUUUCUGUCCUGGGACAUUUUGUGUGGGAGCAAUCCCCCGACGACUGCAACGACCGAGUGGGGAUCCAAAUUUUGGAGUUAACCUUCUGCAAAGGGAUCACAGUGCUCUUCAUAAAAACACAUAGUCCUGGGGCUUGUGCUGCAAAGAAUUGGGUGCCCAGGGGAUGAAAGGGACAGCAAUAGUUUUUCUAUCUGGCACCUUUGGUGUGGGAGCAACCUCCCAGCAUCUUCAGUUUUUUAGGUGGUCUUCUGCAACGUUUGGCAGUCUGUUUGCUAUGGGCAAGUUUUAGAUCCUGACUCUGUGAGACUGAAGGAUUACGAUGGUGCAGAGAGCCGAAGGAGCAGAUUCCGGGGGGUGUGCUGCAGUUCAGCGGGUGCGGCUGAAGGUGGAGACAGCAACAGCUUUCUCGCCUGGCACUUCUGUGAGCUCUGUUUUUGCCGGAUGUAUUUUCGAUUCCGUAGCUGGAUUCUGAGAGAGGGGGGAAAAAAUUUACUAGUACAUACUUGGGAAGGAGCUCGAGUUUGCACGUGGAAGGUCAGCCAAACCUUUCAGUCCCGACACGGUUCAUUUGAGGGCGGUGAGGUUUUGAACUUGGCUGGUUUAGCUGGUUUAGCCCUGGGACAUUGACUUUUGCAAGUCCACACCGCCAUCGCGUGGUGGUUUGAUGAGCGGUGAAAGCCAAGCGCUUCUUGUGCUGGGACCAUUAGUUAGCGCAGGGGUUGAAUUUUGGAUGCUGGCUCCUCGAGGAUGAAAGAACGUGAUCCUGCAUUACGCGUGGGAAGGAAGGCGAAUCGUCUCCUUGUUGGCUCUGCAGUUUCUAGGCUUCAAAAGAGGAGUGAAUCCCAGCACUGGCUUUUUCUUCCAGAACCUUUUCUAGGGGACCAGCUGCUUGAACUGGUUUUAGUUUUGUGACUGUGAGGCAGAAGGUGUGUGAGGGGACACAGAGCUGGGCACACAGACCCGUGCCUGUCGUGCAGUUUAUAAGCUGCAAAAGCAAAGCGAAGGCCAGAGCUGACUUUCUGUUCCUUUUUGUCAAAGGAGGCAAGUUAAAUGUGGAGACAGUAACAGCUUGCUGAGCAGGCACCUUUUGUGACCAAUAUCUACACUUGACACAGUUCAGGUACAGGAUCCCUGCAAGAGUGAAAGAACGUGAGAGUACCUACAGUUUGAAAGGAAAGCUUGUAGCCCCAGGGCACACGGUGUUGAUAUCCUUCGAGGUGACUGUGAAGCCAAUUAACUGUUUUCUCCCAUUUUGUUUUCAGAUUAAGGUUAUGGAGCUGGUCUCAGCAAGAGGAAAAAUGCAAAGGGUGCAUGCAGCUGAAAAAACAAAGCAUAAUAUCAAUGUAUGUUGUGCAGUUUAAGGCUGUAUGGGAAAUGUGAUGCCCAGAACUGUCAUUUUUUUCUAGGACUGUUUUCUAGAGGCAGCAGAUUCUGAAAGGCUGUCUGUGAGAGUAGAGGAUGCAACAUCCACCUGAGAAGAAACUCCCAUAGGCCAUUUCCAUUUGAAACCCUUAACUGGCACCAGAAUCAAGGGGCAAUCCUCAUCCUCACUGGCCACACCUGGGGCUGCCCCACCCCCUUAUCACCCUCACUGCUCACACCUGGGGCUGCCCCAGGUGAGAGGUGACUCCACCCAGUGCUCCCAGUUCCCUCCCACUGCUCCCAGUAUCAUUCCUUGACUCCUCUCAGUACUCCCAGUUCCCUCCCACUGCUUCCAGUAUCACUCCUUGGCUCUCCCCUGUAUUCCCAGUUCUCUCCCAGAGCUCAUAGUUCCCUCUCUCUGCUCCCAGUAUCACUCUUUGACUCCCCCCAGUGCUACCAGUUCUCUCCCAGUGCUCCCAGUUCCCUCCCGCUGCUCCCAGCAUCAUUCCUUGACUCCCCCCAGUGCUCCCAGUUCCCUCCCACUGUUCCCAGCAUCACUCCUUGAUUCUAAAAUUGAAUAUGGAUGAAGAUUCCUCCCAGACAAAAGGGGCCAUGACAGAAAGGGUCUGGGGGAAAGGGGGAAGCCACAAGCUUAGAGAUGGCACUUCUGGUCAGCUCAAAUUCUGUUUUUAGCUUGCCUCCUCCCCAAUUUUGUCUCAGUUGUGCCCACCUAAUUCUUCAGCUGCUGCUCCCUGGGAGGAGGUGACCCUUGUCCAUGGUGGCACAGCUGAUCUGGACAAGAUGAGGAGGAAUAAACACCAGCUGAAGGCCUCUGUGAGCUGUUUUGGGUCGUGGCAGCACUUUUGAACAUCACAUUGAUGCCUUUGGUGAUGCAGCACUAAAUAUUAAUUACCCCUAAACCAACUCUGUGUCUGUUCUCCCAAGGUCUCACACCUGCCUCAUCCUCCAUGUCAGAUCCUACUUUAUUUUCUAAAUAAAUACCCUGCAGCCACCA